RNAcentral lists this small RNA (97 nucleotides) under Salmonella enterica. RNAcentral's name for it is "partial RtT sRNA". It matches the Rfam family "RtT RNA", at positions 36 to 130 of the family's 130-position model. From Rfam's summary of the family: This family represents a bacterial cis-regulatory element known as RtT RNA. The exact function of RtT is unknown although it is thought that it may be involved in changing the cellular response in relation to amino acid starvation. Lineage: Bacteria; Pseudomonadati; Pseudomonadota; Gammaproteobacteria; Enterobacterales; Enterobacteriaceae. RNAcentral also lists the same sequence under 1 other name. The record is from RNAcentral.
CUAAGGUUCGAUUCGAGCGAAAGCGAGAAAGCGUUGCCAACGGCAACGACCCGAAGGGCGAAGCGCGCAGCGCUGAGUAAUCCUUCCCCCACCACCA